This 519-nucleotide ribosomal RNA is filed under the name uncultured eukaryote. RNAcentral's name for it is "bacterial SSU rRNA". The stretch from base 1 to 455 matches the Rfam family "Eukaryotic small subunit ribosomal RNA", at positions 1161 to 1659 of the family's 1831-position model. The record is from RNAcentral.
AGGGCACCACCAGGAGUGGAGCCUGCGGCUUAAUUUGACUCAACACGGGAAAACUUACCCGGCCCGGACACUGUAAGGAUUGACAGAUUGAGAGCUUUUUCUUGAUUCGGUGGGUGGUGGUGCAUGGUCGUUCUUAGUUGGUGGAGCGAUUUGUCUGGUUAAUUCCGAUAACGAACGAGAACUCUAGCCUGCUAACUAGCCAACCGAUCCGCAGCGUCGGUUGCUUGUAAAGCUUCUUAGAGGGACAGGCGGCGUUUAAGCCGCACGAGAUUGGACAAUAACAGGUCUGGUGAUGGCCCUAGAGUCCGGGGCGCCCGCGCGUAUCACUGAGGAACCGCGUGCUAAUCACCUUGGCGGAGGUUGGGGAUCCAAUAACUCUUGGAUCGGAUGAGCUUGUAUUUCGCUCUGACAGGAAUCCAUAGGCGAGCCUAAGCUCGCGUGAAUACGUCCGCCUUGACCACCCCCCCGCCUAUACCGAUGAGAUAUGGACUAGAGCCACAGGUCGAAGUCUGCUUUGUG